GCCACGGUGGUCCAGCGGUUAGAACGCUGGCCUUGUAAUCCUGGGGUCUCGGGUUCGAUUCCCGACGGUGCCC
This is a non-coding RNA of Zootermopsis nevadensis, 73 nucleotides long. The record is from Rfam. Lineage: Eukaryota; Metazoa; Arthropoda; Insecta; Blattodea; Termopsidae.